This 77-nucleotide ribosomal RNA is filed under the name Klebsiella aerogenes. RNAcentral's name for it is "partial 23S ribosomal RNA". Lineage: Bacteria; Pseudomonadati; Pseudomonadota; Gammaproteobacteria; Enterobacterales; Enterobacteriaceae. The record is from RNAcentral.
UCGGGUGUGUAAGCGUAGCGAUACGUUGAGCUAACCGAUACUAAUGAACCGUGAGGCUUAACCUUACAACGCCGAAG